Molecule: ribosomal RNA, 237 nt
Filed under: uncultured bacterium
Lineage: Bacteria
Description: partial 16S ribosomal RNA
Rfam family: Bacterial small subunit ribosomal RNA
Source: RNAcentral
UACGUAGGGUGCAAGCGUUGUCCGGAAUUAUUGGGCGUAAAGAGCUCGUAGGCGGUCUGUCGCGUCUGCUGUGAAAACUCGGGGCUUAACCCCGGGCCUGCAGUGGGUACGGGCAGACUAGAGUGCGGUAGGGGAGACUGGAAUUCCUGGUGUAGCGGUGAAAUGCGCAGAUAUCAGGAGGAACACCGGUGGCGAAGGCGGGUCUCUGGGCCGUAACUGACGCUGAGGAGCGAAAGC